RNAcentral lists this ribosomal RNA (1478 nucleotides) under Synechococcus sp. ROS8604. Its description in RNAcentral is "bacterial SSU rRNA". It matches the Rfam family "Bacterial small subunit ribosomal RNA". Lineage: Bacteria; Bacillati; Cyanobacteriota; Cyanophyceae; Synechococcales; Synechococcaceae. The record is from RNAcentral.
AGAGUUUGAUCCUGGCUCAGGAUGAACGCUGGCGGCGUGCUUAACACAUGCAAGUCGAACGAACCUUCGGGUUAGUGGCGGACGGGUGAGUAACGCGUGGGAAUCUGCCCUCAGGAGGGGGAUAACGGUUGGAAACGGCCGCUAAUACCCCAUAUGCCGAGAGGUGAAAUGAAUUUCGCCUGAGGAUGAGCCCGCGUCUGAUUAGCUAGUUGGUGAGGUAAGAGCUCACCAAGGCAUCGAUCAGUAGCUGGUCUGAGAGGAUGAUCAGCCACACUGGGACUGAGACACGGCCCAGACUCCUACGGGAGGCAGCAGUGGGGAAUUUUCCGCAAUGGGCGAAAGCCUGACGGAGCAACGCCGCGUGAGGGAUGAAGGCCUCUGGGCUGUAAACCUCUUUUAUCAAGGAAGAAGAUCUGACGGUACUUGAUGAAUAAGCCACGGCUAAUUCCGUGCCAGCAGCCGCGGUAAUACGGGAGUGGCAAGCGUUAUCCGGAAUUAUUGGGCGUAAAGCGUCCGCAGGCGGCCCUUCAAGUCUGCUGUUAAAAAGUGGAGCUUAACUCCAUCAUGGCAGUGGAAACUGUUGGGCUUGAGUGUGGUAGGGGCAGAGGGAAUUCCCGGUGUAGCGGUGAAAUGCGUAGAUAUCGGGAAGAACACCAGUGGCGAAGGCGCUCUGCUGGGCCAUCACUGACGCUCAUGGACGAAAGCCAGGGGAGCGAAAGGGAUUAGAUACCCCUGUAGUCCUGGCCGUAAACGAUGAACACUAGGUGUCGGGGGAAUCGACCCCUCCGGUGUCGUAGCCAACGCGUUAAGUGUUCCGCCUGGGGAGUACGCACGCAAGUGUGAAACUCAAAGGAAUUGACGGGGGCCCGCACAAGCGGUGGAGUAUGUGGUUUAAUUCGAUGCAACGCGAAGAACCUUACCAGGGUUUGACAUCCUGCGAAUCUCUUGGAAACUUGAGAGUGCCUUCGGGAGCGCAGUGACAGGUGGUGCAUGGCUGUCGUCAGCUCGUGUCGUGAGAUGUUGGGUUAAGUCCCGCAACGAGCGCAACCCACGUCUUUAGUUGCCAGCAUUUAGUUGGGCACUCUAGAGAGACCGCCGGUGAUAAACCGGAGGAAGGUGUGGAUGACGUCAAGUCAUCAUGCCCCUUACAUCCUGGGCUACACACGUACUACAAUGCUACGGACAAAGGGCAGCAAGUUCGCGAGGACAAGCAAAUCCCAUAAACCGUGGCUCAGUUCAGAUCGUAGGCUGCAACUCGCCUACGUGAAGCAGGAAUCGCUAGUAAUCGCAGGUCAGCAUACUGCGGUGAAUACGUUCCCGGGCCUUGUACACACCGCCCGUCACACCAUGGAAGUUGGCCACGCCCGAAGCCGUUACUCCAACCCUUGUGGAGGAGGACGUCGAAGGUGGGGCUGAUGACUGGGGUGAAGUCGUAACAAGGUAGCCGUACCGGAAGGUGCGGCUGGAUCACCUCCUAA